CCAUCGGUGGUUCAGUGGUAGAAUGCUCGCCUGCCACCCGGGCGGCCCGGGUUCGAUUCCCAGCCGAUGCA
RNAcentral lists this transfer RNA (71 nucleotides) under Cordylochernes scorpioides. RNAcentral's name for it is "tRNA-Gly". It matches the Rfam family "tRNA". Rfam says of the family: Transfer RNA (tRNA) molecules are approximately 80 nucleotides in length. Their secondary structure includes four short double-helical elements and three loops (D, anti-codon, and T loops). Further hydrogen bonds mediate the characteristic L-shaped molecular structure. tRNAs have two regions of fundamental functional importance: the anti-codon, which is responsible for specific mRNA codon recognition, and the 3' end, to which the tRNAs corresponding amino acid is attached (by aminoacyl-tRNA synthetases). tRNAs cope with the degeneracy of the genetic code in two manners: having more than one tRNA (with a specific anti-codon) for a particular amino acid; and 'wobble' base-pairing, i.e. permitting non-standard base-pairing at the 3rd anti-codon position. The record is from RNAcentral. Lineage: Eukaryota; Metazoa; Arthropoda; Arachnida; Pseudoscorpiones; Chernetidae.